Molecule: unclassified non-coding RNA, 200 nt
Filed under: uncultured fungus
Lineage: Eukaryota; Fungi
Description: sequence contains ITS1, 5.8S rRNA gene
Source: RNAcentral
CCACACACGAUCCAAGAUCGACACUUUAUUGUGAACUGUUAAUGUUAUUUGGUAAAUUUUGAUGCUGGGAAAAUCAUUUUCCAGUUGAUGAUUUGCUAAUUUUUUAUUACACCUUGAAAUUACAAAAAAGAUUUAUCAAAGGAACAUAAAUGUUAUACUCAAGUUCGUCUUGAUAUAACGCUAGAUUGAAAAUUGUAAAA